GCAUCGAUGAAGAACGCAGCGAAAUGCGAUAAGUAAUGUGAAUUGCAGAAUUCAGUGAAUCAUCGAAUCUUUGAACGCACAUUGCGCCCAUUAGUAUUCUAGUGGGCAUGCCUGUUCGGGCGUCAUUUCAACCCCUAAGCACAGCUUAUUGUUGGGCGUCUACGUCUGUAGUGCCUCAAAGACAUUGGCGGAGCGGCAGCAGUCCUCUGAGCGUAGUAAUUCUUUAUCUCGCUUCUGUUAGGCGCUGCCCCCCCGGCCGUAAAACCCCCAAUUUUUUCUGGUUGACCUCGGAUCAGGUAGGAAUACCCGCUGAACUUAAGCAUAUCAAUAAGCGGAGGAA
RNAcentral lists this ribosomal RNA (340 nucleotides) under uncultured fungus. RNAcentral's name for it is "eukaryotic LSU rRNA". The stretch from base 1 to 125 matches the Rfam family "5.8S ribosomal RNA", at positions 30 to 154 of the family's 154-position model. Lineage: Eukaryota; Fungi. The record is from RNAcentral.